Molecule: unclassified non-coding RNA, 390 nt
Filed under: soil metagenome
Description: partial contains 5.8S ribosomal RNA, internal transcribed spacer 2, and large subunit ribosomal RNA
Rfam family: 5.8S ribosomal RNA (bases 1-122)
Source: RNAcentral
GAUGAAGAACGUAGCGAAAUGCGAUACUUGGUGUGAAUUGCAGAAUCCCGUGAACCAUCGAGUCUUUGAACGCAAGUUGCGCCCGAAGCCAUUAGGCCGAGGGCACGCCUGCCUGGGCGUCACACGUCGUUGCCCCCCCAUCUACUCCUUCGGGAUUGCGGGGGGCGGAUGAUGGCCUCCCGUGCGCCUCGUCGCGCGGUUGGCAUAAAUGCUAAGUCCUCGGCGACGCACGCCACGACAAUCGGUGGUUGCGAAACCUCGGUUGCCCGUCGUGUGCGGUCGUCGCGCAUCGAGGGCUCGAAAAAAUUGCCGGGCUCCGGCUCGGCUUUCAACGCGACCCCAGGUCAGGCGGGGUUACCCGCUGAAUUUAAGCAUAUCAAAAGCGGAGGA